UACGAAGGUGGCAAGCGUUGUUCGGAUUUACUGGGCGUACAGGGAGCGUAGGCGGUUCGGUAAGCCCUCUGUGAAAUCUCCAGGCUUAACCUGGAACAGUCGGAGGGGACUGCUGGGCUAGAGGACGGGAGAGGAGCGCGGAAUUCCCGGUGUAGCGGUGAAAUGCGUAGAUAUCUGGAGGAACACCGGUGGCGAAGGCGACAUCCUGGACCGGUAUUGACGCUGAGGCGCGAAAGCCAGGGGAGCAAACGGG
This 253-nucleotide ribosomal RNA is filed under the name uncultured bacterium. RNAcentral's name for it is "partial 16S ribosomal RNA". It matches the Rfam family "Bacterial small subunit ribosomal RNA", at positions 524 to 776 of the family's 1533-position model. The record is from RNAcentral.